Non-coding RNA from Chiloscyllium plagiosum (whitespotted bambooshark), 247 nucleotides. NCBI's taxonomy places the organism in Eukaryota, Metazoa, Chordata, Chondrichthyes, Orectolobiformes, Hemiscylliidae. The record is from RefSeq and is a predicted model, not a curated record.
GUAAGCUGUGAGGAGGAUUUAAGGACUCUGCAAUGCGAUAGGUGAAGUAAAUGAGCAGAAUCACUGAUGGAAUAUAGUGGACAAAAAUAGAUCUGUAUACCUGUACUUCAAGGUCUUUCGCUUCCAUUACAUCUCACCUCCACCACCGUAUCCAGAGAAACAGAUGCAGCUGGGAACCCGAGCAAACCUCCACAGCAGCAGCCAUGAGUCAGCACUAGAGUCAUCUCAAUCACCAGGAACCCAAACU